Molecule: unclassified non-coding RNA, 139 nt
Filed under: soil metagenome
Description: partial internal transcribed spacer 1
Source: RNAcentral
UCAAAACAGCGGCCUUCGGGCCUCGCUGCACCCUUGUCUUUUGCGCACCGUAUUGUUUCCUCGGCGGGCUUGCCUGCCGGUUGGACAUCAUAGAACCUUUUUGUAGUUGCAAUCAGCGUCAGAAAAACAAUAAUUAUUA